UCGUGACCCUUAAACAAAACAGACCGUGAACGUGUUAUCCAUGCCGCACAAGCUUCUGCUCGUGCAAGGCCUCGACCCUCUUUCGGGUGGGUAGGGGCCGCAAAAGAACCCACGGCGCCGAAGGCGUCAAGGAACACUGAUAUUGCCUUGUGCGUGGUUGUGGUCGGCUUGCUGAUCACACCUCGUGCAGCGAUGCUAUCUUAAUCCACACGACUCUCGGCAACGGAUAUCUCGGCUCUCGCAUCGAUGAAGAACGUAGCAAAAUGCGAUACCUGGUGUGAAUUGCAGAACCCCGCGAACCAUCGAGUUUUUGAACGCAAGUUGCGCCCGAGGCCUUCUGGCUGAGGGCACGCCUGCCUGGGCGUCACGCCAAAAGACACUCCCAAACCCCCCGACUCCGGGGAGGGACGUGGCGUCUGGCCCCCCGCGCCGCAGGGCGUGGUGGGCCGAAGCAGGGGCUGCCGGCGAACCGCGCCGGGCGCAGCACGUGGUGGGCGACAUCCAGUUGUUCUCGGUGCAGCGCCCCGGCGCGCGGCCGGCGCGUCGGCCCUACGGACCCAUCGAGCGACCGAGCGCGACGCCGCUCGGACC
RNAcentral lists this ribosomal RNA (591 nucleotides) under Tripsacum dactyloides (eastern gama grass). RNAcentral's name for it is "ITS1, 5.8S ribosomal RNA, ITS2". The stretch from base 212 to 367 matches the Rfam family "5.8S ribosomal RNA". The record is from RNAcentral. Lineage: Eukaryota; Viridiplantae; Streptophyta; Magnoliopsida; Poales; Poaceae.